GUGCCAGCCGCCGCGGUAAUACCGGUAGCCCGAGUGAUGGCCGAUCUUAUUGGGCCUAAAGCGUCCGUAGCUGGCCGCACAAGUCCGUCGGGAAAUCCACUCGCUUAACGAGUGGGCGUCCGGCGGAAACUGCACGGCUUGGGACCGGAAGGCUCGAGAGGUACGUCCGGGGUAGGAGUGAAAUCCCGUAAUCCCGAACGGACCACCGAUGGCGAAAGCAUCUCGAGAAAACGGAUCCGACAGUGAGGGACGAAAGCUAGGGUCUCGAACCGGAUUAGAAACCCUUGUAGUCC
This 293-nucleotide ribosomal RNA is filed under the name uncultured bacterium. RNAcentral's name for it is "partial 16S ribosomal RNA". It matches the Rfam family "Archaeal small subunit ribosomal RNA", at positions 455 to 747 of the family's 1478-position model. The record is from RNAcentral.